Molecule: ribosomal RNA, 396 nt
Filed under: uncultured bacterium
Lineage: Bacteria
Description: partial 16S ribosomal RNA
Rfam family: Bacterial small subunit ribosomal RNA
Source: RNAcentral
AUACGUAGGUGACAAGCGUUAUCCGGAUUUACUGGGCGUAAAGGGCGUGUAGGCGGUCUUGCAAGUCAGAAGUGAAAUUCCUGAGCUCCACUCGGGCGCUGCUUCUGAAACUGCAGGACUUGAGUGCUGGAGGGGAUAGCGGAAUUCCUAGUGGAGCGGUAAAAUGCGCAGAUAUUAGGAAGAACACCGGUGGCGAAGGCGGCUAUCUGGACAGUAACUGACGCUGAGGCGCGAAAGCGUGGGGAGCAAACAGGAUUAGAUACCCUGGUAGUCCACGCUGUAAACGAUGAAUACUAGGUGUGGGGGGACUGACCCCCUCCGUGCCGCAGUUAACACAAUAAGUAUUCCACCUGGGGAGUACGAUCGCAAGAUUGAAACUCAAAUGAAUUGACGGGG